Molecule: ribosomal RNA, 785 nt
Filed under: uncultured bacterium
Lineage: Bacteria
Description: bacterial SSU rRNA
Rfam family: Bacterial small subunit ribosomal RNA
Source: RNAcentral
UAGAGUUUGAUCCUGGCUCAGGACGAACGCUGGCGGCGUGCCUAAUACAUGCAAGUCGUACGCUUCUUUUUCCACCGGAGCUUGCUCCACCGGAAAAAGAGGAGUGGCGAACGGGUGAGUAACACGUGGGUGACCUGCCCAUCAGAAGGGGAUAACACUUGGAAACAGGUGCUAAUACCGUAUAACAAUCGAAACCGCAUGGUUUUGAUUUGAAAGGCGCUUUCGGGUGUCGCUGAUGGAUGGACCCGCGGUGCAUUAGCUAGUUGGUGAGGUAACGGCUCACCAAGGCCACGAUGCAUAGCCGACCUGAGAGGGUGAUCGGCCACAUUGGGACUGAGACACGGCCCAAACUCCUACGGGAGGCAGCAGUAGGGAAUCUUCGGCAAUGGACGAAAGUCUGACCGAGCAACGCCGCGUGAGUGAAGAAGGUUUUCGGAUCGUAAAACUCUGUUGUUAGAGAAGAACAAGGAUGAGAGUAACUGUUCAUCCCUUGACGGUAUCUAACCAGAAAGCCACGGCUAACUACGUGCCAGCAGCCGCGGUAAUACGUAGGUGGCAAGCGUUGUCCGGAUUUAUUGGGCGUAAAGCGAGCGCAGGCGGUUUCUUAAGUCUGAUGUGAAAGCCCCCGGCUCAACCGGGGAGGGUCAUUGGAAACUGGGAGACUUGAGUGCAGAAGAGGAGAGUGGAAUUCCAUGUGUAGCGGUGAAAUGCGUAGAUAUAUGGAGGAACACCCAGUGGCGAAGGCGGCUCUUCUGGUCUGUAACUGACGCUGAGGCUCGAAAGCG